Dendrobium catenatum is the source of this 133-nucleotide small nuclear RNA. RefSeq annotates it as U11 spliceosomal RNA. The record is from RefSeq and is a predicted model, not a curated record. The transcript has a single exon. Lineage: Eukaryota; Viridiplantae; Streptophyta; Magnoliopsida; Asparagales; Orchidaceae.
AAAAAGGGUCGGUUGGCUAUGCAUGUCACGUACAUCUUUUAAUUGAUGGAUGUUGUAUGAUUAUAUGGACAUAUGGCCGACAUAAUUUAUGAAUGCUAUUGGGUUGGCUUGCUCAGUUGCUUGGCUAACCCUC